Molecule: ribosomal RNA, 510 nt
Filed under: uncultured bacterium
Lineage: Bacteria
Description: bacterial SSU rRNA
Rfam family: Bacterial small subunit ribosomal RNA
Source: RNAcentral
AUUGAACGCUGGCGGCAUGCCUUACACAUGCAAGUCGAACGGCAGCACGGGGGCAACCCUGGUGGCGAGUGGCGAACGGGUGAGUAAUACAUCGGAAUGUACCCAGUAGUGGGGGAUAACUAGUCGAAAGAUUAGCUAAUACCGCAUACGCACUAUGGUGGAAAGCGGGGGAUCGCAAGACCUCGCGCUAUUGGAGCAGCCGAUGUCCGAUUAGGUAGUUGGUGGGGUAAAAGCCUACCAAGCCUGCGAUCGGUAACUGGUCUGAGAGGACGACCAGUCACACUGGGACUGAGACACGGCCCAGACUCCUACGGGAGGCAGCAGUGGGGAAUUUUGGACAAUGGGGGAAACCCUGAUCCAGCAAUGCCGCGUGUGUGAGAACCCCGGUUCGGGUUGUAAAGCACUUUUGUCAGGGAAGAAUACUUCUGGGUUAAUACCUCGGGAGGAUGACGGUACCUGAAGAAUAAGCACCGGCUAACUACGUGCCAGCAGCCGCGGUAAGGAGUAGUA